RNAcentral lists this ribosomal RNA (305 nucleotides) under uncultured bacterium. RNAcentral's name for it is "bacterial SSU rRNA". It matches the Rfam family "Bacterial small subunit ribosomal RNA", at positions 334 to 655 of the family's 1533-position model. The record is from RNAcentral.
UUUUCCUACGGGAGGCAGCAGUCGGGAAUAUUGCGCAAUGGAGGAAACUCUGACGCGGUGACGCCGCGUGCAGGAAGAAGGUUUUCGGAUUGUAAACUGCUUUAGACAGGGAAGAAACAAGACAGUACCUGUAGAAUAAGCUCCGGCUAACUACGUGCCAGCAGCCGCGGUAAUACGUAGGGAGCAAGCGUUAUCCGGAUUUAUUGGGUGUAAAGGGUGCGUAGACGGGAAGGCAAGUUGGUUGUGAAAUCCCUCGGCUUAACUGAGGAACUGCAACCAAAACUAUCUUUCUUGAGUGCUGGAGG